GACGGAAGGUGCGAGCGUUGUCCGGAAUUAUUGGGCGUAAAGAGCUCGUAGGCGGUUUGUCACGUCUGCUGUGAAAUCCCGAGGCUCAACCUCGGGCCUGCAGUGGGUACGGGCAGACUGGAGUGCGGUAGGGGAGAAUGGAAUUCCUGGUGUAGCGGUGGAAUGCGCAGAUAUCAGGAGGAACACCGAUGGCGAAGGCAGUUCUCUGGGCCGUAACUGACGCUGAGGAGCGAAAGCGUGGGGAGCAAACAGG
This 253-nucleotide ribosomal RNA is filed under the name uncultured bacterium. Its description in RNAcentral is "partial 16S ribosomal RNA". It matches the Rfam family "Bacterial small subunit ribosomal RNA", at positions 524 to 776 of the family's 1533-position model. The record is from RNAcentral.